GAGUUUGAUCCUGGCUCAGGAUGAACGCUGGCGGCGUGCCUAAGACAUGCAAGUCGAGUGGGUUUAGACCCACGGCGAACGGGUGAGUAUAACCUCGGAACUUCCUUUAACUUUAGGAUAUCCUCCCGAAAGGGAGAGCAAUACUAAAUGUGGUCGCAAGACUAAAGUCGCAAGACGGUUAAAGCAAGGCCGGGGCUCCAUCAGCUAGUUGGUAGGGUAAAGGCCUACCAAGGCUAUGACGGAUAGGGGUACCGAGAGGUAUAACCCCCACACUGGGACUGCGACACGGCCCAGACUCCUACGGGAGGCAGCAGUUUGGAAUUUUGGACAAUGGGCGAAAGCCUGAUCCAGCGACGCCGCGUGCACGAAGAAGGCCUUCGGGUUGUAAAGUGCUUUUGCUUGGGAAAAAUUUUUGAUUGUACCAAGAGAAUAAGAGGUUGCUAACUCUGUGCCAGCAGCAGCGGUAAUACAGAGACCUCAAGCGUUAUCCGGAAUCAUUGGGCGUAAAGCGUACCGAUAGGUGGUCAUGGUAGUUUUGGGUAAAAGCCAGAAGCUCAACUUCUGCGUUUGCUCAAAAUACUCCACGACUAGAGGGGCAAAGAGGAAGCUGGAACGAAUGGUGUAGUAGUGAAAUGCGUAGAGAUCAUGAGGAAGACCAGUGGCGAAGGCGGGUCUCUGGACAGUUCCUGACACUGAGGCACGAAGGCCAGGGGAGCAAACGGGAUUAGAUACCCCGGUAGUCCUGGCAGUAAACGGUGCACGUUUGGUGUGGGAGGAUUCGACCCCUUCCGCGCCGGAGCUAACGCGUUAAACGUGCCGCCUGGGGAGUACGGUCGCAAGAUUAAAACUCAAAGAAAUUGACGGGGGCCCGCACAAGCGGUGGAGUAUGUGGCUUAAUUCGAUGCAACGCGAAGAACCUUACCAGGCCUUGACAUGCAUUUCUAAGUUGGUGAAAGCCAGCGAGUCCCGAAAGGGACAACUUGCACAGGUGCUGCAUGGCUGUCGUCAGCUCGUGUCGUGAGAUGUUGGGUUAAGUCCCGCAACGAGCGCAACCCUUGUCCCUAGUUGCUACGCAAGGGCACUCUAGGGAGACUGCCGGUGACAAACCGGAGGAAGGUGGGGAUGACGCCAAGUCCUCAUGGCCCUUAUGGGUAGGGCUUCACACGUCAUACAAUGGCCGGUACAGAGGGUUGCCAAAGCGCGAGCUGGAGCCAAUCCCCAUAAAAGCCGGUCGUAGUCCGGAUUGCAGUCUGCAACUCGACUGCAUGAAGUCGGAAUCGCUAGUAAUCGCGGAUCAGCAUGUCGCGGUGAUACGUUCCCGGGUCUUGUACACAC
RNAcentral lists this ribosomal RNA (1335 nucleotides) under uncultured bacterium. Its description in RNAcentral is "partial 16S ribosomal RNA". It matches the Rfam family "Bacterial small subunit ribosomal RNA". The record is from RNAcentral.